CCUACGUGGAGCUGCAGUGAGGAAUAUUGGUCAAUGGACGGGAGUCUGAACCAGCAAAGUAGCGUGAAGGCUGAAUGCCCUAUGGGUUGUACACUUCUUUUAUCUGGGAAUAAACUGUUCCACGUGUGGGCUUUUGUAUGUACCAUAUGAAUAAGGAUCGGCUAACUCCGUGCCCGCAGCCGCGGUAAUACGGAGGAUCCGAGCGUUAUCCGGAUUUAUUUGGUUUAAAGGGAGCGUAGUGGGAUUGUUAAGUCCGUUGUGAAAGUGUGGGGCUCAACCGUAAAAUUGCAGUUGAAACUGGCAGUCUUGAGUACGGGAGAGGUGUGCGGAAUGCGGGGUGUAGCGGUGAAAUGCUUAGAUAUCACGAAGAACUCCGAGUGCGAAGGCAGCUCACUGGACGGCAACUGACACUGAGGCUCGAAAGUGUGGGUAUCAAACAGGAUUAGAUACCCGAGUAGUC
This 460-nucleotide ribosomal RNA is filed under the name uncultured bacterium. RNAcentral's name for it is "partial 16S ribosomal RNA". It matches the Rfam family "Bacterial small subunit ribosomal RNA", at positions 338 to 795 of the family's 1533-position model. The record is from RNAcentral.